Molecule: ribosomal RNA, 445 nt
Filed under: uncultured bacterium
Lineage: Bacteria
Description: bacterial SSU rRNA
Rfam family: Bacterial small subunit ribosomal RNA
Source: RNAcentral
CCAGACUCCUACGGGAGGCAGCAGUGGGGAAUAUUGCACAAUGGGGGAAACCCUGAUGCAGCGACGCCGCGUGAGUGAAGAAGUAUUUCGGUAUGUAAAGUUCUAUCAGCAGGGAAGAAAAUGACGGUACCUGACUAAGAAGCCCCGGCUAACUACGUGCCAGCAGCCGCGGUAAUACGUAGGGGGCAAGCGUUAUCCGGAUUUACUGGGUGUAAAGGGAGCGUAGACGGCAUGGCAAGUCAGAUGUGAAAGCCCGGGGCUCAACCCCGGGACUGCAUUUGAAACUGUCAGGCUGGAGUGCAGGAGAGGUAAGUGGAAUUCCUAGUGUAGCGGUGAAAUGCGUAGAUAUACGGAGGAACACCAGUGGCGAAGGCGGCCUGCUGGACAUUAACUGACGCUGAGGCGCGAAAGCGUGGGGAGCAAACAGGAUUAGAUACCCGCGUAU